GCACCGAUAGCUCAAUUGGAUAGAGUACCUGACUUCGGAUCAGGUGGUUGGAGGUUCGAGUCCUUUUCGGUGCG
This 74-nucleotide transfer RNA is filed under the name Simkaniaceae bacterium. RNAcentral's name for it is "tRNA-Arg". It matches the Rfam family "tRNA". Rfam says of the family: Transfer RNA (tRNA) molecules are approximately 80 nucleotides in length. Their secondary structure includes four short double-helical elements and three loops (D, anti-codon, and T loops). The record is from RNAcentral. Lineage: Bacteria; Pseudomonadati; Chlamydiota; Chlamydiia; Parachlamydiales; Simkaniaceae.